This 544-nucleotide long non-coding RNA is filed under the name Meleagris gallopavo (turkey). Its description in RNAcentral is "lncRNA (ENSMGAG00000022359.1)". Lineage: Eukaryota; Metazoa; Chordata; Aves; Galliformes; Phasianidae. The record is from RNAcentral.
AUGUGGCAUGAAAUCAUGCUGCAGAGUUCACCACUCCCUUCACUAACUGUUCUGUAUUGAAUUACUCUUGUUCAGGUACGUGCCUUAUGUCCAGUUUGGAAACGUUCAGUUUCUCCUCCCAGAGAUCUGGAGAUCUCCAGGAGUAUUCUUUCCACAGCUGAUAUUGAGCGGGGGAUGAGGACUGGUGUCAUUUCCUGGCAGCCACAGCAGAAGAUGAGCAGAAGGCCACUCAGGAAUGCAGCACAUGGUACAGUCACAUAAGGAAACCUCACUGUUCUGGGGAACUGUUUGCUGGGUUUAUCUUGCACCGGGUUCUUCAAAGAAGUCUCUUUCUGUUACGAACGUGACUGUCUCACCAUUUCCAUUGCCGUACCAACCACGUGCAGAAAGAUGAGUAAUAUUUAAUGCAAAAUUGCAUUUGUUUUGCCGAUUGCUUUGCUUUUGUCAAGGCACAUCGGGGAUUUCGUACAGAAUGAUUGCUGGAGGUCACAACUAGCAGGUUGGAGCCUGUUGAAUUCAGUGAGCCAGUAGAGGUUACAGGAAU